CCCUUAGAUGUCCUGGGCUGCACGCGCGCUACACUGAAGGAAUCAGCGUGGAUGCCUCCCUGGUCCGAAAGGAUUGGGAAACCCGUUGAAUCUCCUUCGUGCUAGGGAUUGGGGCUUGUAAUUCUUCCCCAUGAACGAGGAAUUCCCAGUAAGCGCAAGUCAUCAACUUGCGUUGAUUACGUCCCUGCCCUUUGUACACACCGCCCGUCGCUACUGCCAACUGAGAUGGGUCCUGAAUUGUUAGGAACGCCCGUCAAGGGGCCUACCCGGUCCCUAGUGCGGUGACGAGAAUAACUGUAAAUGGCAUAUCUUGUAGGGAGUAAAAGUCGUAACA
Molecule: ribosomal RNA, 334 nt
Filed under: uncultured eukaryote
Lineage: Eukaryota
Description: partial 18S ribosomal RNA
Rfam family: Eukaryotic small subunit ribosomal RNA
Source: RNAcentral